GCUGAAGUAGCUCAGUUGGUAGAGCAAUCGUCUCGUAAGCGAUAGGUCGCAGGUUCAAUCCCUGUUUUCAGCACCA
RNAcentral lists this transfer RNA (76 nucleotides) under Bacilli bacterium. Its description in RNAcentral is "tRNA-Thr". It matches the Rfam family "tRNA". From Rfam's summary of the family: Transfer RNA (tRNA) molecules are approximately 80 nucleotides in length. Their secondary structure includes four short double-helical elements and three loops (D, anti-codon, and T loops). Lineage: Bacteria; Bacillati; Bacillota; Bacilli. The record is from RNAcentral.